This is a long non-coding RNA of Dermacentor silvarum, 5086 nucleotides long. RefSeq lists it as uncharacterized. NCBI's taxonomy places the organism in Eukaryota, Metazoa, Arthropoda, Arachnida, Ixodida, Ixodidae. The record is from RefSeq and is a predicted model, not a curated record. The transcript is spliced from 9 exons.
AGUUUCGGUGGUUUGUUGCUCAUACUACGCUCGUGGAAAAUUGCAUGGGCUUCAAGGAGGCCAGCAGAGCCUAAACCGACAGCUGGGUAGAUAUCUUCACAUUCCAGAUCCAGCAACUGCCGGACAGCGACAAGUGGCUGCUACACCGGAUGCCAUUUCAUCCACAUGCCAGCGGGGAUCUGUUAUCCUGGUCGCCAUCAAGCGUGCCUAGUCGACCGUCCAUGGCACUCGUGUUGUCGUCUCAUCAGCCUGCUCCUGCACAGCUCAACACCUUUUUAAAAGCAGUCUUUGUUGGAGUGCUGGGAUCAUAGCAGCAAUGGUUGCGGAAGCCAGCACAAUACUGGAUAUUAUUCCUGCAUUCUACAGGUCUCAAAAAAAGCUCCUGGCUAGCAGCUGCAGUAAUCAAGUUCUCGUGCCAUGGAUACAAGGCAUCAUAAACCACCUCUACUGGGUGGCUGCAAUUGGACAGGGUGAUGAAGAGCUUGCUGUCAGCAUAUGGAGGGGUUCCUUCAACCACGUGUGUGACGAACACGACAGCCACGAUGGGCCCUACAACAAAUGCCUCAAUGACCAUCUUGAGGGCAGGAAAUGGAUGAGGUCGAGUAAGCAUUACGGUCGUGAGUACAGAUGCCACUACUGUUGCAAGCGCCAUAAGCACAGCAGUAUUGCGGCUUGAGGGAGAGCUGAGCAGCAGUGACUCUGGCAAUUGAACCAGCGCUUGGAAACAUGCAUAAGAUCAGCAUCUGCGUCCUUCGAACCGAAGUCACCCGUUGAGCCACCUGUGCAGACUGUCUCCGACGGUGCAUCCGAGGGUGGGGGCGAGAACAGCAAAUCAUCACCAUCAUCGUAGCGGCAGCGAAGGCAAACAUUUACUGGCACAGUCAACAGGAUGGGUUUGCUGGACAAAGUGGGACAAGCUAAGGAUAGCAAGGCAGCGGCUCUUCUGGUAGAGUUGCAUUCCAAAACCUGGCAGCACUUCCAGUGUCUGCCAUUGACGCAAGCCUUGGAGGAGGAAGCCCAGCAACGAGACAGUGCGAGGCAUCGACUGAGCCCCAGUCCCGACCGAGAGCAACACUGAAACACCUGGACCCUUAACUACCAGGAAUCCAUGCCUGAAAAGUGGCCCUGCAGCAAGUCGCACAGCAUUUGGACAGACAGAGAGCUUCGCUGCCUCCGCUGCAGCCAUCGUCAUCGGCUCGUGGCACCAGUAUCUGAGGAGGGAAACAGCAUCAUGGAGAAACUUGCUGACCUACUGUCACCACCUACGGUCAUCGCACUGGGGCGUCUGCUGCGUCCAGCACUCCAGAGUGGGGGAAGAGCAACACAUCAUCAUCGCAUCAUUUACUGGUGCAGUCGGCAGGGUGGCUUCGUUGGACCAAGCGAGGUGACCUGAAGAAAUCAAGACAGGCACCGCCUCUGGCGAAGACUGAACUUGAAGAAAAUUAGUAGCACCUUCGGUGACCACCAACAGUCAAGACCUGGGGGAGGGACCUGAGCGGCAAGGCGACGAGCCCCUUCCAGCAAGCAGCCAACUGUGAGAUCUUCUGUGACUGACAGUACUGUACUACUUAGCUCACUUGUCUACAGAGCCAUGAGUUCUCUUGUCCUCUUCACCUUUGCCAUUGUUGUGUUUGAGAGGCAGCAAAAAAAGGGAGGGGGGCGGGGGCAAAAGAAACGGGAUGGCGAGUGAGAGUGGAGAUGGUCAAAGCGACGAGAUAGAAUUCCGUUUGUCGUGGGAACAAAUGUAAAAUAACCUCAAGAUGGCUGAAGAGCGCCGCCAAACUCGGGAACUUAACCUGGAACUGGCAAGGCUGCUUGCCGAGGUACCCCCGCAAGGGCAGGCCUCAGGUGGUAGUGACGACGUCAGAAGCGGGUUCCAAUAGCCUUGAUAUGCCAAAUUAUUGUCUGGGGCAUUUCCUAAAUUUCCUGGUGAUGCAGAAGUACCCAUAUGGUUUAAACCACUGGAGAGCACCCUAGAGACUUACAAUCUGCCACAGCGGUUUUGGGGACAGGUCAUUAAGCUAACCGCGGCGCAACAUCACAAUUAUGAGAUCGUGAAGGAGGUAUUGCUCGAAGAGCUAAAAUUGUCGCCUGCAGAAUAUAAACGCAGAUUCCUCAGUGCAUGAAAACGCAAACGGAAACUUGGAAAAGCUUCGCUACCCGACUGCGCAGCUACCUCAAUUUUUAUGUUAACUCCAGAUAUGUGCAUGUCUACGAGGUUCUAGUGGAGCUUUUCGUAGUCGAUCAGCUGAAAACAGGCCUGUCGGGAUAGGCGUUAAAAUAUGUUACCCUGUGUGAGGGGACAACUUGGUCCAGGUCAUCGGAAUUGGCCAGGUUGUUGCAAACUUUGGAUGACGCUGCGGACAAUGCAGGAGCACCUGAUGUGCAACAAAGCGGCGCCAAUCAGUAGGUGCCACCAUGAUCGUUCAGUGGCUGUGGCCACACAAUGGUGGAAUCUGCGGACACUCUGAGUACCCGACUGAAACAGCUGUAUCCGCAACGGACGGAAAGCGCGCCACGAGCGUGCUUUGAAUGCAGCUCCAUGGGACACAUUUGCAUCAACUGCUCUCGUUUGUGUGAUAAACGGCCCUAAAACACAGCCAGUACAAAGUGCGAUGAAAGACUGACAGCCAGGGUAGCUACAGGGCACGGCAACUAGAGCGAGGAGAGCUUAUUGAACAUCACUUUGUGUUGCAAAGGGCAAAGAAAUAGCAGCAAUCGUUGACAGCGGGGCCAAAAUCACCGUCGUUACAGAAAGUGGCGUUCCGGAUGAAUUAGUGCAGUCGCAUGGAAAAAUCAAGUUAAUAGUGUUUGGCGAGAAAGUUGAAGCAAAAUUGGAAGUGCUCCCUUUGGCUGUCAGGCAUGGUCGCCCAUUGCUGUGGGUGUGAGGGGACAGACACCAGUGUUGUGUGCCCUCACAAAUAAAUUGCACUCAUGCCCAGACUGUCUUAUUUCUGCGCAUGUUUAGAACAUUUUGCAUCAACAAAACAAGUAUGCUGAAGGUCCUAGCGUCAUGAAUAAGGCACCUGUGAUAGCACCAAAGCUGGUGAAAGCAGUAGAAGCUGAAGAGCAGGCCGCAAUCCUUGAAUUACUUGAGAUCGCAGAAAGCUGACAGGAGAUGGCAGCGACAUUUGAAGGAGUUGGCUUCAACGCCAGCGACACCGCCAACCUUGCAAACAGUGAUUCCAAGUCGUUGAAAAAAGAGCAGGAAAACAAUGACUCUCAAGUGGGCGUGGCAGGACGCACUUGCCUACCUUCUAAAGCAGUGUUAGAAUUAAAGACGAAAAAUCUCAAACAUCCUAAAUGGCAUUAGGUAGACGAGAGAACCACAUGCAAAGUGACUUUUCUGUGAGUUUGACCAAAAUGACAAGACUAAGGGAGAAAUAACUCUUUGCAUCUAUGUAAGUGUGUGGCAUUGUCUGUGAUUAUUCUACUGGUUGUAGUUAUUUUGGUUCUAUGCGUGGCAUGUGCUUUGUGUACUUCUUGGAUGUGCACGAAUGAAGUGUGGCACGACCUAUAUCGCGAAGCUACUGUUCUUUUUCUGACAGGAUGUUCGAUAUGUCGUUGAAUUUUUCUUUGGUAUUGGUGUCUGUGUCGACAACACUGUGAACGAGUGGUUAUCGCGUCUUGGGUGGGUGGUGUAAGCCCAUCGCUUCAAAUGGUAGUAAAACAAACUGAAAAACUCGGCACGGGCCAUCCGAGCCGGGGGCUUUCAUCUUGGCGAGCUCGUUGCGCACCGAGCCACUUGAGUAAUGGCCGUCAACGGCACACACGAAGCAUCUUCCACGCAAGUAGAAUAAACACGCAGCUGGCACUGCUAGGUACCGCAGAGCUCGGGGAGUGGAGGAAACCACCGGCGCCACUUAGCAAUCGCACUUGACAGUGAUGAGGGGCCUCAAACCUCCUUCUGCGGUGCACUUUCCUGGCACCACCGCAGGCAUUCUUCUCGCGCACGGCAAGCGGGUGGGUAGGAACAAAUUCAGAACUUGAGGUUCCGCCGAUUAGUUAAAUGGGUAGCCUCUCCUAACGGGUGACAAACGAACCUGUUCCACGUGUGACUUCCCUACCGGUGCUCUGGCAUGUAGCAUUAGAAUGUGCAUGGUUCGGGUUCGACACAGGCUGUUUGAAUCGAGUGAUGCAGGCAGAUGCGCUACCACCGUUGCAUUUUAUGGAUGCACCAUGUGCCCCGGGCUGGCAUGUGGUUUCUUAGAGCCACUUGAAAAACGGUUGGUUUUGACUCAGAUUGGAAGCGUCUCCGGGAAUGUUUUCUUCAGCGUACAGUCCAGACACAGGGUCGACAUUUAGAUAAAGAACCCGUGCACCUCACUGACAGGUUUACUCGCAGUCUGUGUCUGCUUAUGGCACUGCAUGACCUUCAGCUCCAUAGAAUUCUGAUGCGCUGCAUGACUGGCACCGUAAUUCUGAUGUUUUCCCGCGUCUACAAAUUUUCACUUGUGUUUAGCCUGCCAGCAUUUUAUUACACCAGCUGCACUUGCAUACCGUUUCUUGGAACUCCUGACAAAUUUGGGUAGCGGGACCCUUGCCGCUCCGUUGUUGUGUAUUGUGUUUAGAGUGAGGGUUCUACACUGGGGUGAACUCUUUUAAAAAAUUGUUCUUAGAUGGUUUGUUAGUCGACUGACUGACCAAUCACGCAAUAAAGUUUAACAAACCUAAUUAUUGGUGAACUGAGUUACCAGUCACAAAGCAACCCAACAAUGAUUGAUCAGUAAGCAUUCGGGGGCGGAGCGUUGGGUCUAGAAAAUGCAGCUCAAGCAUUCUAACCGUCGUCGUGGACCUGACUUCGGGUGCUAAGCACCAUCGGCUCUGCCGAGACAGGGUUUCCUUAUGUUGUCCAAACCAAUGUAACUGUUUGUAACCGAUGUAACAUUGCAACCAUGUAACCUCGGAACCAAGCAUUGUGAAGUCCUUGUAAAUAAAAGUUUUCUUCAUCCAUACACCAGCGUCUGCAUCCUUUGAGCCGGGGUCACCGAUUAACCCACCUGUGCAGACCCUCUCCGACAGUGCGUCUUGGACACCAAGAGAGGGGGAAGAACAAUGCAUCAUCACAUCAUUUACUAAAUAUAUA